AAUGCCGGAUGCUCCGACUCCUCGCAUGGGGUGUCGGGAAAGAUUUCAUCGGUAUGGGAUGGGGUCGCGUCCUAUCAGGUAGUCGGCGGGGUAACGGCCCACCGAGCCUACGACGGGUAGCCGGCCUGAGAGGGCGACCGGCCACAUUGGGACUGAGAUACGGCCCAGACUCCUACGGGAGGCAGCAGUGGGGAAUAUUGCACAAUGGGCGCAAGCCUGAUGCAGCGACGCCGCGUGCGGGAUGACGGCCUUCGGGUUGUAAACCGCUUUUGAUCGGGAGCAAGCCUUCGGGUGAGUGUACCUUUCGAAUAAGCACCGGCUAACUACGUGCCAGCAGCCGCGGUAAUACGUAGGGUGCAAGCGUUAUCCGGAAUUAUUGGGCGUAAAGGGCUCGUAGGCGGUUCGUCGCGUCCGGUGUGAAAGUCCAUCGCUUAACGGUGGAUCUGCGCCGGGUACGGGCGGGCUGGAGUGCGGUAGGGGAGACUGGAAUUCCCGGUGUAACGGUGGAAUGUGUAGAUAUCGGAAAAG
This 528-nucleotide ribosomal RNA is filed under the name Bifidobacterium pseudocatenulatum. RNAcentral's name for it is "bacterial SSU rRNA". It matches the Rfam family "Bacterial small subunit ribosomal RNA", at positions 165 to 705 of the family's 1533-position model. The record is from RNAcentral. Lineage: Bacteria; Bacillati; Actinomycetota; Actinomycetes; Bifidobacteriales; Bifidobacteriaceae.